This 71-nucleotide transfer RNA is filed under the name Canis lupus familiaris (dog). It matches the Rfam family "tRNA". Rfam says of the family: Transfer RNA (tRNA) molecules are approximately 80 nucleotides in length. Their secondary structure includes four short double-helical elements and three loops (D, anti-codon, and T loops). Lineage: Eukaryota; Metazoa; Chordata; Mammalia; Carnivora; Canidae. RNAcentral also lists the same sequence under 2 other names. The record is from Rfam by way of RNAcentral.
ACCCAGGUGGCUCAGUCAGUAGAGCAAGACUCUUGAUCUUGGGGUCAUGAGUUCAAGCCCUAUGUUGGGUG